Molecule: ribosomal RNA, 254 nt
Filed under: uncultured bacterium
Lineage: Bacteria
Description: partial 16S ribosomal RNA
Rfam family: Bacterial small subunit ribosomal RNA
Source: RNAcentral
UACGAAGGGGGCUAGCGUUGCUCGGAAUCACUGGGCGUAAAGCGCACGUAGGCGGAUCGUUAAGUCGGAGGUGAAAUCCUGGAGCUCAACUCCAGAACUGCCUUCGAUACUGGCGAUCUUGGAGUCCGGGAGAGGUGAGUGGAACUCCGAGUGUAGAGGUGAAAUUCGUAGAUAUUCGGAAGAACACCAGUGGCGAAGGCGGCUCACUGGCCCGGUACUGACGCUGAGGUACGAAAGCGUGGGGAGCAAACAGG